GGAGGGUUAGUUAAGAUAUAACGUAAGCUUGUCGGGCUUUAAUAACCAUUGGGUACUCUCCU
This 62-nucleotide transfer RNA is filed under the name Echyridella menziesii. Its description in RNAcentral is "tRNA-Asp". The record is from RNAcentral. Lineage: Eukaryota; Metazoa; Mollusca; Bivalvia; Unionida; Hyriidae.